RNAcentral lists this ribosomal RNA (603 nucleotides) under Aequidens chimantanus. RNAcentral's name for it is "partial 16S ribosomal RNA". It matches the Rfam family "Bacterial large subunit ribosomal RNA", at positions 1808 to 2611 of the family's 2925-position model. Lineage: Eukaryota; Metazoa; Chordata; Actinopteri; Cichliformes; Cichlidae. The record is from RNAcentral.
CAAAAACAUCGCCUCUUGAGACACUUAGACAUAAGAGGUCCCGCCUGCCCAGUGACUAUAAGUUUAACGGCCGCGGUAUUUUGACCGUGCAAAGGUAGCGCAAUCACUUGUCUUUUAAAUGAAGACCUGUAUGAAUGGCACCACGAGGGCUUAACUGUCUCCUUUUUCCUGUCAAUGAAAUUGAUCUCCCCGUGCAGAAGCGGGGAUUUUAACAUAAGACGAGAAGACCCUAUGGAGCUUCAGGCUCCAGAACAGACUAUGUUAAUACACCCUACCACAAAGGACAAAACUUAUUAGGCCCUGUUCCAAUGCCUUUGGUUGGGGCGACCGCGGGGAAACAAAAACCCCCCAUGUGGACCGGGAGCACAACCCCUCCCACAACCCAGAGCAACAACUCUAAGUAACAGAACAUCUGACCAGCAAAUGAUCCGGCACAGCCGAUCAACGGACCGAGUUACCCUAGGGAUAACAGCGCAAUCCCCUUCUAGAGCCCAUAUCGACAAGGGGGUUUACGACCUCGAUGUUGGAUCAGGACAUCCUAUUGGUGCAGCCGCUAUUAAGGGUUCGUUUGUUCAACGAUUAAAGUCCUACGUGAUCUGAGUU